This 497-nucleotide ribosomal RNA is filed under the name uncultured bacterium. RNAcentral describes it as "partial 16S ribosomal RNA". It matches the Rfam family "Bacterial small subunit ribosomal RNA", at positions 28 to 507 of the family's 1533-position model. The record is from RNAcentral.
GACGAACGCUGGCGGCGUGCCUAAUACAUGCAAGUUGAGCGCUGAAGGUUGGUACUUGUACCAACUGGAUGAGCAGCGAACGGGUGAGUAACGCGUGGGGAAUCUGCCUCUGAGCGGGGGACAACAUCUGGAAACGAAUGCUAAUACCGCAUAAAAACUUUAAACACAAGUUUUAAGUUUGAAAGAUGCAAUUGCAUCACUCAAAGAUGAUCCCGCGUUGUAUUAGCUAGUUGGUGAGGUAAAGGCUCACCAAGGCGAUGAUACAUAGCCGACCUGAGAGGGUGAUGGGCCACAUUGGGACUGGGACACGGCCCAGACUCCCACGGGAAGCAGCAGUAGGGGAUCUUCGGCAAUGGACGAAAGUCUGACCGAGCAACGCCGCGGGAGUGAAGAAGGUUGUCGGAUCGUAAAACUCUGUUGGUAGAGAAGAACAUUGGUGAGAGUGGAAAGCUCAUCAAGUGACGGUAACUACCCAGAAAGGGACGGCUAACUACGUG